GAGGGAGCCUGAGAAAUAGCUACCACAUCCAAGGAAGGCAGCAGGCGCGCAAAUUACCCACUCUCGAAACGGGGAGGUAGUGACGAUAAAUAACGAUGCGGGACUCAAUCGAGGCCCCGUAAUUGGAAUGAGUACACUUUAAAUCCUUUAACGAGGAUCAAUUGGAGGGCAAGUCUGGUGCCAGCAGCCGCGGUAAUUCCAGCUCCAAUAGCGUAUAUUAAAGUUGUUGCAGUUAAAAAGCUCGUAGUUGAUCUCAGGAUUUGGAUGGAUGGUUCGCUUUCGGGCGCUACUAUCUGUCUGACCUACUCUAGUCGUGGAUGCCUUGGGUGCUCUUAAUUGAGUGCUUUUGGUGCCCGACGCAAUUACUUUGAAAAAAUUAGAGUGCUCAAAGCAGGCGUAUUGCCUGAAUAGUGUUGCAUGGAAUAAUGAAAUAGGAGUUUACUUCUAUUUUGUUGGUUUUCGGAGGUGAACUAAUGAUUAACAGGGACAGACGGGGGCAUUUGUAUGGAGGGGUUAGAGGUGAAAUUCUUGGAUCCUCUCCAGACAAACUACUGCGAAAGCAUUUGCCAGGAAUGUUUUCACUAAUCAAGAACGAAAGUCAGAGGUUCGAAGACGAUCAGAUACCGUCCUAGUUCUGACCAUAAAUGAUGCCAUCUAACAAUCCACGAAGUUUGCUUGUACGAACUCGUGGGCGGUCCCCGGGAAACCAAAGAUUUUGGGUUCCGGGGGAAGUAUGGUUGCAAAGCUGAAACUUAAAGGAAUUGACGGAAGGGCACCACCAGGAGUGGAGCCUGCGGCUUAAUUUGACCCAACACGGGAAACCUCACCCGGCCCGGACACUUUUAGGAUUGACAGAUUGAAGGCUCUUUCUUGAUCAAGUGGUUGGUGGUGCAUGGCCGUUCUUAGUUGGUGGAGCGAUUUGUCUGGUUAAUUCCGAUAACGAACGAGACUCUACUCUGCUAAAUAGAACGUUGAUAUAUAAAAGUCAGUGCUGACUUCUUAGAGAGACUAACGGCGUUUAGCCGUGUGAGAAAGAGCAAUAACAGGUCUGUGAUGCCCUUAGAUGUCCGGGGCCGCACGCGCGCUACACUGACUGCAGCAACUAGUAUGCUCCUGGUUUGAAAAAACUGGGUAACCUGGUUGAAUUGCAGGCGUGACAGGGAUCAGAGUUUGCAAUUAUCCUCUGUGAACGAGGAAUUCCCAGUAAGCGCAAGUCAUUAACUUGUGCUGAUUACGUCCCUGCCCUUUGUACACACCGCCCGUCGCUACUACCGAUUGAAUGGUUUAGUGAGGUCUUCGGAUUGGUGCUGAUGGAGUGGUUCUCUGCUCUGUUAGUGCCGAGAAGAUGAUCAAACUUGAUCAUUUAGAGGAAGUAAAGGUCGUAACAAGGUU
RNAcentral lists this ribosomal RNA (1392 nucleotides) under metagenome. RNAcentral's name for it is "SSU rRNA". It matches the Rfam family "Eukaryotic small subunit ribosomal RNA", at positions 388 to 1801 of the family's 1831-position model. The record is from RNAcentral.